Molecule: ribosomal RNA, 269 nt
Filed under: uncultured soil bacterium
Lineage: Bacteria
Description: partial 16S ribosomal RNA
Rfam family: Bacterial small subunit ribosomal RNA
Source: RNAcentral
AGAUUGAACGCUGGCGGCAUGCCUAACACAUGCAAGUCGAACGGGAGUAGCAAUACUCUAGUGGCGGACGGGUGAGGAAUACGUAGGAAUUUGCCCUUAAGUGGGGGAUAACCCGGGGAAACCCGGAUUAAUACCGCAUGACCUCGAAAGAGCAAAGUGGGGGAUCGCAAGACCUCACGCUUUUGGAGAAGCCUACGUCGGAUUAGCUAGUUGGUGAGGUAAUGGCUCACCAAGGCGACGAUCCGUAACUGGUCUGAGAGGAUGAUCGA